Molecule: ribosomal RNA, 492 nt
Filed under: uncultured bacterium
Lineage: Bacteria
Description: partial 16S ribosomal RNA
Rfam family: Bacterial small subunit ribosomal RNA
Source: RNAcentral
AGUGAACGCUGGCGGUAGGCCUAACACAUGCAAGUCGAACGGCAGCACAGUAAGAGCUUGCUCUUACGGGUGGCGAGUGGCGGACGGGUGAGGAAUACAUCGGAAUCUACUUUUUCGUGGGGGAUAACGUAGGGAAACUUACGCUAAUACCGCAUACGACCUACGGGUGAAAGAAGGGGAUCUUCGGACCUUGCGCGAUUGAAUGACCCGAUGUCGGAUUAGCUAGUUGGCGGGGUAAAGGCCCACCAAGGCGACGAUCCGUAGCUGGUCUGAUAGGAUGAACAGCGGCAAUAGCACUGAGGAAAGGUACAGACUCCUAAGGGAGGCAGCUGUGGAGAAUAUAGGACAAUGGGCGCAAACCUGAUCCAACCAUACCGCGUGGGUGCAGAAGGCCUUCGGGUUGUAAAGCCCUUUUGUUGGGAAAGAAAAGCAGCAGGUUAAUACCCCGCUGUUCUGACGGUACCCGAAGAAUAAGUACCGGCUAACUUCGUG